UACGUAGGGUGCAAGCGUUAAUCGGAAUUACUGGGCGUAAAGCGUGCGCAGGCGGCUUUGCAAGACAGAUGUGAAAUCCCCGGGCUUAACCUGGGAACUGCAUUUGUGACUGCAUGGCUGGAGUGCGGCAGAGGGGGAUGGAAUUCCGCGUGUAGCAGUGAAAUGCGUAGAUAUGCGGAGGAACACCGAUGGCGAAGGCAAUCCCCUGGGCCUGCACUGACGCUCAUGCACGACAGCGUGGGGAGCAAACAGG
RNAcentral lists this ribosomal RNA (253 nucleotides) under uncultured bacterium. Its description in RNAcentral is "partial 16S ribosomal RNA". It matches the Rfam family "Bacterial small subunit ribosomal RNA", at positions 524 to 776 of the family's 1533-position model. The record is from RNAcentral.